AAGGGAGACCUAAUUCAGGUAUGGGAUGAAAAAAAAGUAGUCGCUACCAAGAAUCAAUCCCAAAAGGUCGGAGCGAGGUAUGAGGCUUUCAAACUAGGUUCUGGGUUCAAACAAGACCUGAAUCAGGAACAAGGGCUAUUAGCUCAGGUGGUUAGAGCGCACCCCUGAUAAGGGUGAGGUCCCUGGUUCGAGUCCAGGAUGGCCCACCUGCACAGGUGGCAAAAACAAGAGAAGCUCCGAAUCAGCACCUUAUCUUAUCUAUAUAUAAGAGAGAAUGCUGGCCCUGGGUACAGAGUCCAGAGGAACCUUGAAAACUGCAUAGAGCUAGGUGAAAAAGCCAAAAAAGAAGACCGCAA
This 356-nucleotide transfer RNA is filed under the name uncultured Microcystis sp. RNAcentral describes it as "partial 16S-23S ribosomal RNA intergenic spacer". The stretch from base 133 to 206 matches the Rfam family "tRNA". Lineage: Bacteria; Bacillati; Cyanobacteriota; Cyanophyceae; Chroococcales; Microcystaceae. The record is from RNAcentral.